This is a long non-coding RNA of Herpailurus yagouaroundi (jaguarundi), 550 nucleotides long. RefSeq lists it as uncharacterized. The transcript has 2 exons. Lineage: Eukaryota; Metazoa; Chordata; Mammalia; Carnivora; Felidae. The record is from RefSeq and is a predicted model, not a curated record.
UCCCUGAGGCAGGCCCCACAGACACCCGCGGACCCCGAAAUCGUCUACACGUGUCCAGUGAGACCUGGGUCAGGCAGCCUGCUCGGGCUCCUCCGAGGGGCCCUCCUGCAUGCCCCCCCGCCCCCCCCCCCCCACGGUCCCCGCAUCCUCCCGGCACCCCACACGUUAUCUCUGUUCUGCUGAUAAGGGAGAAGAGGCACCGGCCCUCAGGCUUGGCUUGGGUACCCAGCUCGCCGGGCGGUACUCACCACAAAACAAAGGAAGAGGCAGGUCCUUAAAGAAAGUUUUCCAUGGUCUUUAUGCUGUUUUCUGGAACUGUGAUCCAUCCGCAAAACACCCUGUUCCGUCCAUCGCAGGCUUUGCUGAACCCCCAUCUUCCCCAACAUCUUCGACGCUUUUCGCCUGGGCUCCCCAAAUCUGGGCGAACGGUCCUCUCCGUUGCCUCGAGUAGGAGAAGGAGAAGGCUCCUUUCCUCGCCUGCGUCCUGAAGUCUGGCCCUACAUCACCAGAGCCCUCAGUGGUUCCACGAACAUGAGCUUUUCAUCCACAA